RNAcentral lists this non-coding RNA (26 nucleotides) under Homo sapiens (human). The record is from RNAcentral. Lineage: Eukaryota; Metazoa; Chordata; Mammalia; Primates; Hominidae.
UGGGAUUUUAAACUCUCUUUGGGUAC